GAUUAACGCUGGCGGCGUGCCUAACACAUGCAAGUCGAACGAGGUAGCAAUACCUAGUGGCAGACGGGUGAGUAACGCGUGGUCAACCUACCGUUGAGUGGGGGAUAACUAGCCGAAAGGUUAGCUAAUACCGCAUACGUCUCCGAGUGGCAUCACUUGGCGAUAAAAGGAGCAAUCCGCUCGAUGACGGGACCGCGUCCCAUUAGCUAGACGGUGGGGUAACGGCCUACCAUGGCACCGAUGGGUAGCUGGUUCGAGAGAGCGACCAGCCACACUGGGACUGAGAAAACGGCCCAGACUCCUACGGGAGGCAGCAGUGAGGAAUUUUCCGCAAUGGGCGCAAGCCUGACGGAGCGACGCCGCGUGUGGGAAGAAGGCCUUCGGUCGU
This 388-nucleotide ribosomal RNA is filed under the name uncultured bacterium. RNAcentral's name for it is "bacterial SSU rRNA". It matches the Rfam family "Bacterial small subunit ribosomal RNA", at positions 28 to 426 of the family's 1533-position model. The record is from RNAcentral.